GAAAGAAUAAAAAUCAAUAGAUUUUAGGUAAGCCCUGCCCGGUAGUAUAAGUUAAACGGCCGCAGUAUUUUAACUGUGCUAAGGUAGCAAAAUCAAUAGUCCUUUAAUUGGGGUCUGGAAUGAAUGGGUUAAUGUGCAAUAACUAUAUGUUAAUUUUCUUUACUGAAUUUAUUAAUAUGGUGAAAAUACCAUAAUUAGAAAAAAAGACGAGAAGACCCUGGGAAUUCUCAUCUUCGGAUGUUUGUUGGGGCAACACGGAAAGAAAACCUCCUAUCAAAAAUAAAUAAUAAUCAAAUAGAAAGUUAUAAUAAAUUUUGAAAUAAUUACCCCAGGGAUAACAGCAUAAUAUCUUUAUAUGUUUAUGACCUCGAUGUUGGACUAAGAAGCCUAUUAGUUAGUAACUAAUAGUAGUAGCUCUGUUCGAGCCGUUAAUUCUU
RNAcentral lists this ribosomal RNA (437 nucleotides) under Brachystomia sp. nov. BSHS-2001. RNAcentral describes it as "partial 16S ribosomal RNA". It matches the Rfam family "Bacterial large subunit ribosomal RNA", at positions 1825 to 2597 of the family's 2925-position model. Lineage: Eukaryota; Metazoa; Mollusca; Gastropoda; Pyramidellidae. The record is from RNAcentral.